UUCGCAAUGCCCGAAAGGGUGACGAUGCGACGCCGCGUGAGCGAAGAAGGCCUUAGGGUUGUAAAGCUCUGUCGAGGGUUAUGAAAUGUAAACAGGUUAAUACCCUGUUUAUUUGACAAAAGCCCAAGAGGAAGUCACGGCUAACUCUGUGCCAGCAGCCGCGGUAAUACAGAGGUGGCAAGCGUUGUUCGGUAUUAUUGGGCGUAAAGAGCACGUAGGUGGUUUUAUAAGUCAGGUGUGAAAGCCUUCUGUUCAAAGGGAGAACGGCAUCUGAAACUGUAGAUCCUGAGUAUAGGAGGGGAGAGUGGAACUUCUGGUGGAGCGGUGAAAUGCGUAGAUAUCAGAAGGAACGUCGGCGGCGAAAGCGACUCUCUGGCCUAUUACUGACACUGAGGUGCGAAAGUUAGGGGAGCAAACGGGAUUAGAUACCCCGGUAGUCCUAACCGUAAACGAUGGGCACUAAGUAGAGGGGUUUU
RNAcentral lists this ribosomal RNA (476 nucleotides) under Candidatus Scalindua wagneri. Its description in RNAcentral is "bacterial SSU rRNA". It matches the Rfam family "Bacterial small subunit ribosomal RNA", at positions 365 to 832 of the family's 1533-position model. Lineage: Bacteria; Pseudomonadati; Planctomycetota; Candidatus Brocadiia; Candidatus Brocadiales; Candidatus Scalinduaceae. The record is from RNAcentral.